RNAcentral lists this long non-coding RNA (1265 nucleotides) under Homo sapiens (human). RNAcentral describes it as "HSALNT0290190". The record is from RNAcentral. Lineage: Eukaryota; Metazoa; Chordata; Mammalia; Primates; Hominidae.
GCCGGGUCCUCCUUCCUGCUCGUGCCACCAGGCCCCGGGGCCGCGACGCGUCUCUCCAGCCCGGGAUCCGGGGAGCUGGGCUGUCCCCAGACCGACGGGACAGCGGCAUCUCCUCCACCUGAAAAGGAAAGAGGACCAGUUUGCAGGACUCCGAACUGGGCCCGCGAGAUCUCCACCUGCGCAAAACGAAAGGGCGGAUUCUCCUUGGACUCACGAGGCAACCGCUCCCCGGGGUGAGAACGGGGGACUCAUUCCUCCGGCACUGGGAGAAGACGAUUCUUUAGGAGGAGGACAGGGAAGCGAAUGCUACCCAGGUCCUACAGUGUGUAAGCAACAGACGUGAGAUUUGGACCUCUGCUGGACCCCCAAAGGCGGGGCAGCGAACACUCCCCUCCACUCCGCGCCUCCGCAGAACACACAGGGCACCAUUUCACAAACACAGCAGGCACAGAGAGAAACUCCUGCAUUUUCAUCAUAAUGCACGGAAACCCCCUGACCUCAAGCCCAGAGAAGUGAGAUGCAUCCAGGUCUGUUUGCUGCCUGCAUGUUUCACAAAUACAUCUAACAGAUGUCUCAGUAUACUGGCUCGCGGCACAUCGGGCAAAUGAACCUAUCAGAUAACAACGGCAGAUCAGAUGCCUGAGCAUUCAGAAGCAACAGCUGUGGAGCCCCCGUGGGUUCAGAAGGCCUGGUUCCCGUCUCCAGAAGCCUGGCUCUCCUCCCUCCUGGGCCCACUACUUUGGCUUCUUGUUCCUACGUACAAGGAGUUGCGAAGAAGGCAACUCUUCCCCUCCCUGAAGCCAAAGGAAUGAAACAGACUAGGGCGGGAGAGGUGGCCAUCCGUCAUUAGUUGCGGCCAUCAGUAACAGCAACAGGACACGGAACCUAAGGCUGUAUCCAUCCUGGGCCCCCAGGGAAACAUCAGCGGGAGCGGUACUAAGGAAGUGCUCAUCUCUUAGAGACAAAGGCCCAUGGAGGGGAACAGUAACCAUCCCCUCCCAAUUCAGAAAAUGUUAACAUAAGCACUUCAUUUCUCAUGCAGAUAACCACAUAAGUCUAUUAAUAAGAAAGAAAGAGAAAGAAAAAAAAGAAAAAGGAAUCCAUGCCAGCAGGGUAUAGGAAUUGGUCUAUAGGAGAAAGGGUCACCCACUGAAAGGUGGGCUGAAUAGAAUUCCUUGCCUGGGCUUUGAGGUCCUGGCAUGGAGAAGGCUGUAGAAAUGCUGGCAUCAGUGGAACCCUCAAUAAACAGAAUUCUUGUUAAAGAA